UACGUAGGGUCCGAGCGUUGUCCGGAAUUACUGGGCGUAAAGAGCUCGUAGGUGGUUUGUCACGUUGUUCGUGAAAACCCACAGCUCAACUGUGGGCGUGCGAGCGAUACGGGCAGACUAGAGUACUGCAGGGGAGACUGGAAUUCCUGGUGUAGCGGUGGAAUGCGCAGAUAUCAGGAGGAACACCGGUGGCGAAGGCGGGUCUCUGGGCAACAACUGACGCUGAGGAGCGAAAGCGUGGGGAGCGAACAGG
This 253-nucleotide ribosomal RNA is filed under the name uncultured bacterium. Its description in RNAcentral is "partial 16S ribosomal RNA". It matches the Rfam family "Bacterial small subunit ribosomal RNA", at positions 524 to 776 of the family's 1533-position model. The record is from RNAcentral.